Molecule: non-coding RNA, 28 nt
Filed under: Rattus norvegicus (Norway rat)
Lineage: Eukaryota; Metazoa; Chordata; Mammalia; Rodentia; Muridae
Source: RNAcentral
UGGAAAAACUUGGAGACGCUGUCCUUCA